UGGGGAAUAUUGCACAAUGGGCGAAAGCCUGAUGCAGCGACGCCGCGUGAGGGAUGACGGCCUUCGGGUUGUAAACCUCUUUCAGCAGGGACGAAGCGCAAGUGACGGUACCUGCAGAAGAAGCACCGGCUAACUACGUGCCAGCAGCCGCGGUAAUACGUAGGGUGCAAGCGUUGUCCGGAAUUACUGGGCGUAAAGAGUUCGUAGGCGGUUUGUCGCGUCGUUUGUGAAAACCAGCAGCUCAACUGCUGGCUUGCAGGCGAUUCGGGCAGACUUGAGUACUGCAGGGGAGACUGGAAUUCCUGGUGUAGCGGUGAAAUGCGCAGAUAUCAGGAGGAACACCGGUGGCGAAGGCGGGUCUCUGGGCAGUAACUGACGCUGAGGAACGAAAGCGUGGGUAGCGAACAGG
Molecule: ribosomal RNA, 409 nt
Filed under: bacterium
Lineage: Bacteria
Description: partial 16S ribosomal RNA
Rfam family: Bacterial small subunit ribosomal RNA
Source: RNAcentral